ACGUCAUAGAGGGUGAGAAUCCCGUAUGUGAUGGGUUGCGCGAGCCAUGUGAAACUCCUUCGACGAGUCGAGUUGUUUGGGAAUGCAGCUCUAAAUGGGAGGUAAAUUUCUUCUAAAGCUAAAUACCGGCCAGAGACCGAUAGCGCACAAGUAGAGUGAUCGAAAGAUGAAAAGCACUUUGGAAAGAGAGUUAAAAAGUACGUGAAAUUGUUGAAAGGGAAGCGCUUGCAACCAGACUUGCUCGCAGUUGCUCAACCCGCCUCCUGGUGGGUGUACUCUUCUGCGGUCAGGCCAGCAUCAGUUCGAGCGGUCGGAUAAAGGCGCCGGGAAUGUAGCUCCUCUCGGGGAGUGUUAUAGCCCGGCGUGGAAUGCGACCUGCUCGGACUGAGGAUCUCGCUUCGGCUAGGAUGCUGGCGUAAUGGUUGUAAGCGGCCCGUCUUGAAACACGGACCAAGGAGUCUAACAUCUAUGCGAGUGUUUGGGUGUCAAACCCAUGCGCGUAAUGAAAGUGAACGGAGGUGGGAACCCGCAAGGGCGCACCAUCGACCGAUCCUGAUGUCUUCGGAUGGAUUUGAGUAUGAGCAUAGCUGUUGGGACCCGAAAGAUGGUGAACUAUGCCUGAAUAGGGUGAAGUCAGAGGAAACUCUGAUGGAGGCUCGCAGCGGUUCUGACGUGCAAAUCGAUCGUCAAAUUUGGGUAUA
RNAcentral lists this ribosomal RNA (701 nucleotides) under Septorioides strobi. Its description in RNAcentral is "eukaryotic LSU rRNA". It matches the Rfam family "Eukaryotic large subunit ribosomal RNA", at positions 200 to 919 of the family's 3401-position model. Lineage: Eukaryota; Fungi; Ascomycota; Dothideomycetes; Botryosphaeriales; Septorioideaceae. The record is from RNAcentral.